GAAUCAAUCAUGUGAUAUGUCCAGUUAGAUUGGACAUGCACAUGCUGCCCACUACACACAACCCAAUAACCCACUUGUCUGAGACCACUCAGUCUUGCAUGUGCUUCAUUAAAAGAUACCCACCACCUCUCCAUAUGUUUAUUGUAUCCAAAAGUCUUCUAGUACAGGUGGGUCAAUCUCCAUGCUUCUUGUCUCUUGGAUUCAAACCCACAAUAAUAGAGCCCAGUUCCAAACAUAAGCUCUGUCAUAUAUCAGACUGCACAGUUCAUUUGAGGCCUCUGGAAGUGGGUUUUUGCAGUGCAAUGGAAUAUAGAGUGAGAGGAUAAAAUGACUAGUGAUUGAUGAUAAUUCCAGUGGUAUCCAAUGGAUUUCAGAGACCCAUUGUCUAGUGUUGGAGCAUAAACAGUCAAGAACAUAAGUGGGUCUUGAAACAGAUGGAGCUAGAUUGGUACACUAAGAAGAGCUUGCAUUAUCUUCCUCCUACGACCUCAUCAUCUCUCUCUUCUAUUAUUGUUCUGAUCAGGAAGACUCUGAUAAAACCCAUGAGAAAAAUAGCAGUACAACUGGAUUCUUGUCAUCAGUCCAGAAAACCCAGGCAUAAGAAUAAAAAUGCAAUGAAUUCACAUGCUCUAUCCUACAUGAAAAAAUCCUCCAAGAAGCUACUGGUUCGGCUGCAUACAAGACACAGGAAGAGGAAUUUAGAUUGCUUUGGCUGUGUUCUACAUAUAUAGAAAAGUGUCUAAUUAUUAGAAGUACAGGAAAUUGUUAGAGGACAGCUAUGGGCUGACAAUUUGGAACUUCCCCCAGAUUCUUCAAGACAAGACAAAUAUUCAAUGCUUGAGGAUAACAAUUUGCUAUGGAGAUUCUUACUAUAUUACAGAUAAUAUGCAAUGUCAUCUUCAAACAAAAUGCUGGUUUAAUGUAAGAUGAUGACAAUUUCCAAGAGGGAUAAUUAUAAUUUGACAGAUAUAGCCGAACAAGAGAAGAUGCAGUUUAACUUCAUGGGUGCUUAUUAUAUUUGAGCUAUCUGAGAUAGUAGCCCUUGAAAGCAUAGAAGCUUAAAUGGCAAAAUGUUUUAUCAAUCGAAGAGACUUCUUAUGUUUCAA
Molecule: long non-coding RNA, 1106 nt
Organism: Cryptomeria japonica (Japanese cedar)
Lineage: Eukaryota; Viridiplantae; Streptophyta; Pinopsida; Cupressales; Cupressaceae
Exons: 2
Source: RefSeq, a predicted model, not a curated record